Molecule: ribosomal RNA, 268 nt
Filed under: uncultured bacterium
Lineage: Bacteria
Description: partial 16S ribosomal RNA
Rfam family: Bacterial small subunit ribosomal RNA
Source: RNAcentral
GUCCACGCCGUAAACGAUGAGUGCUAGGUGCUGCGGGUAUUGACCCCUGCGGUGCCGUAGCUAACGCGUUAAGCACUCCGCCUGGGGGAGUACGGCCGCAAGGCUAAAACUCAAAGGAAUUGACGGGGGCCCGCACAAGCGGUGGAGCAUGUGGUUUCAAUUUCGACGCAACGCGCAGAACCUUACCUGGGUUAAAUCCACUCAAAGCUGGCAGAGAUGCCGGGGUGCCCUUCGGGGAAUGAGUGAGAAGGUGCUGCAUGGCUGUCGU